RNAcentral lists this ribosomal RNA (429 nucleotides) under Gemmatimonadota bacterium. RNAcentral's name for it is "Gemmatimonadetes bacterium partial 16S ribosomal RNA". It matches the Rfam family "Bacterial small subunit ribosomal RNA", at positions 355 to 776 of the family's 1533-position model. The record is from RNAcentral. Lineage: Bacteria; Pseudomonadati; Gemmatimonadota.
UAGGGAAUCUUCGGCAAUGGACGAAAGUCUGACCGAGCAACGCCGCGUGAGUGAAGAAGGUUUUCGGAUCGUAAAACUCUGUUGUUAGAGAAGAACAAGGACGUUAGUAACUGAACGUCCCCUGACGGUAUCUAACCAGAAAGCCACGGCUAACUACGUGCCAGCAGCCGCGGUAAUACGUAGGUGGCAAGCGUUGUCCGGAUUUAUUGGGCGUAAAGCGAGCGCAGGCGGUUUCUUAAGACUGAUGUGAAAGCCCCCGGCUCAACCGGGGAGGGUCAUUGGAAACUGGGAGAGUUGAGUGCAGAAGAGGAGAGUGGAAUUCCAUGUGUAGCGGUGAAAUGCGUAGAUAGAUGGAGGAACACCAGUGGCGAGUGCGGCUCUCUGGUCUGUAACUGACGCUGAGGCUCGAAAGCGGGGGUAGCAAACAGG